UUUGGGUUGUCGUAUGCAAUCAUCCAAUUCAAUAACGUUAGGAAAAUCUGAAGGUUAAUUUAAGCGGAACUAAUUAACUUGGGGCAUUGAGAAUUCAUGGUUUAUUGAAAAGCAAUUGGAAAUCGUUUUGUAUGCAAGUGUAACAUGUGUGGAGAUGAACCCCUUAGCUAGCCUUCCAUUCACCCAUUUAAAUCAAAUUCGUUUUUACAAUCUGUUCUAAUUUACAAAGUUUGUUUUGUUUUAAAUUCGUCCAAAACCAAUCCCCCUUUGUUUUAAAGUGUCAAAUUAGUUAGUAAGUGUUUUACUUUGUGUUUUUAAGUGUUUUGAUUCAAGUUAAAACCCAAAUUCGUCCAAUUUGGUGCUUAGUGUCCAAAACUGCCCAGAUUGUGUUUUUAAGGCAGUUUUGAGUGUUUUGGUGCUGUUUUGAGUCUUUUGGUUUGUUUUGGUGUUUUAAGUUUAGUUUUGCAUUCUUUGAGUCUAUUUUAGUGUUUUAAACUUGUUUUUACGUAUUUGAGUCAAUUCCAAGUGAUUUGGCAAUCCCUCCUAAUCCCCGGUCUAGAACGAUCCCUACUUACAUACAUUGCUACAAUUGAUAAAAAGAGGGUUAAUUUGUGUGUCAACAUAAUUUUCACAUCAUGCAUCACAGUAUGAUAAAAAUAUGUGGGACAUGAAAGUCGUUAACUAAUUGCAUAAAAAAAUGUGUAGGUGUGUGGAAAUUUUAGUUUACCCUCUCGGACUUGAGAACAGGCCCAUAUUGGUUUUGUGAAAUUAGUUUACCCUCUCGAACUUGAGAGAAGACCCAGAUGGGUGUCGGAGAAUUAGUUUAUCUUCUCGCUCUGGAAAGUAGACCCCAGAUGGGUGUUAGGUGAUAACUCAUAUAUUUCAUGCAUUUAUAGCAUCCAUUCCUAGUCUAUUUGUAACGUUUUAGAGUAAAACCAAUUGCAUUUCACCCUAUUUGUAUCAGUGUGCAGUUACAUGCAUUUUAGGAUCACUUUGAAGUCAAAAGAAGUGAAAACAUGCCAUUUUUGGGGUUGACCUUUAUUCAAACUUGGAAAGAAGUUUAUUGGCCUAUUUUAAAGCCCAAAUAAAGAACCCAAAGUGAAUCUGGCUGGUUAGAAGACCAAGAGCAGAAUGAGAAAGAAAUUGGAAUAUCUAGCCUGAUUUGGAAGAGCCAAAUAAGGAAAAACGUUCAAAACUUUGGCUUAAUGGUUGUGAUCACCUUGCAAUCACCUACAGCCCAUCUAGCAUAUAAAUAUAAGGGUUUUAGAUCACUUUUACACAAGCCCCAUUUGGGGUCGCCCAGACCUCUCUCUCUUCUCUUUCUUUGGCCUUUCUUCUAGAAACAAAACCUUAUUUCCCUUUGCCAUCUGCUGCCAUCGAAGAAACCAUGCAACCGCGCUGUUCUUGGAGAAGUUCAACAUUAGAAUUGCUUCAAGGGGGUUUCUUUUAUGAACUUUACUUUCACUCAUGUUGUUCUUGAUAUUUAUAUAUUCUGUAAUCAUGUUGUGUAAUUAAGUUCAUAGCUGGGGAAUUCGAUGUAGCCUUGCAAACAUACUCUAUGUUAUUAAGUUAAAGUAUUUUAAUUACCAAUCUAUGUUCUUGUUUCAUUCACUGAUUUUAUAGUUUAAUUUGUUUGUUAAUCAUAAUGUUUGAUCACCAUUAGGGCUGCUUAUGAAUUAUUUGAUCAAGGUUAUAGUACACAUCAUGCUUAAUCUUGGUAGACAUAUGAAUGGUUGAAGAAAUUGCUAUGCAUACAUCCUGCCAUGUGAUUUCUUUGGUUUUUUUAAGUUUUCUUGUUCUUAAUGGAUUUUUAUUUGGUAAUCUAUGUUGAACAUCACAACUAGGUUGCAUAUUAGGAGUACUUGAUCACAACCACACAUCAAAUAGAUGAUCAUAAAUAAGUAAAACGAGCCCUAAUUGAAGAUUAGAGCAAUCUAUCAUUCAUCCUUAUCUUGUCUUGCAUUUUAAUCUAAAUUCAGUUUUCAUUUUCAUUUUCAUUGCUUAGUUAGGGUUCACAUAAAACUAGUAAUUUGUAGAGUUCUAAUGAGUCCCUAUGGUUCGACACCGAUACUUGUUCCAUUAUACUAUCCUUAUAUGCACUUGAAAGGAACACAACACUAGGGAAUUAGUUUACCCUCUCACACUGCCGAACAGACCCAGAUGGGUGUCUGUUGCCGCGUACACGUCUAUAUUUUGUUACAGAAGAAGUAAUCGCAUUAAAAAAAUAAAGGCGUGCAGUAAACACGAAGAACGAAUACAAUAACCUAGAAAUAAAAAGGACAACAACCACUUAAUAUUAUGGUCUAGUGGUAUUCAUUUUCACUUGUGAGUGAGAUGUCUUAGGUUUGAUUCUCACCAAAGGCGAAUUUGAACCACAUUAUUAUAGUUAGACCAGAAGCAUAGCCCAUUCUCCACCCCAUUAGUGUAGGUAAUAUCGUUUGUUCGAAAAAAAAAAAGAAAAAAAAAUACAAAUUAAGCCUUGUUUGAUGGUUCUGUAGUUUUAAGUAUAAGCGUAGCUAGAUAAUUAAGGUGUUGUGGUCGUAGGGUGAGGCAAAAGGGGGACGGGAAGUCCCUUGGCGGGCAUGGGCAUUUGAUCAACUACGAUUUGCUCAUUGGGAACAUCCCUAAACAUGACGAACAUAAAGAACAAAAACAAGAACAUUGAGAACAUCCAUGAAAACCCAUAAGAGCUUCAUGAACAUUUUUCACCCAAAGACACCCCAAAGCCUUUUAAACUUAAGGGAAAUAAUAUAUUAACAUACUAGGGUACUUAUGGGUUCCUAAUGUCACUUUAAAAUUUUUUAAGAAGACAAACAUGAACCCAAAAAUCCACCCUAUGGAUUUGGCCAAAUUUCCACAAACAAAAGGGACCAAAUUUUAGUUCCUAAAUUAAUGCAACUUUGAACUACAUCUACAACAUUUGAGAUGACAAAUUUUCAAACAACAUUUACAUUCGAAGAAGUAAGAAUAUGCUUGUAACCAUUACAACAUUCAAAUAGAAAAACUAUGAACAAUGUUUAUACCAUAUUUAGGGCCUCGUAUUUAGACCUCGUAUAAAUACUUGGGGAACUUAAAUGUAAUUAUGUAAUAAAGGAAGGGGCAAAUAUGUAAUAAGUGAGGAGUCCUUAUUCUAUAAAAGGACCCCUCACCCUUAUAAUUAAAGGAGGCCAAUUCCUAGGCCCUCUCACCCCCUCUCAACGCUCUCACUCUCAGAGCUCUCUCUCCCUCAAAUAAAUACAACCAGUGUGGACGUAGCCCAAACCUUGGGGUGAACCACGAUAACCCUUGUGUUAUUUACAUUUCAUGAAGAUUCACGGUCGGAUUUACGUUGUUCCAAGACCUCCGAUUUUGUGCAUCAACAUUUGGCACCGUCUGUGGGAAUCGAUACGAAAAGUUGUGUCGGUUCUCUUUAAUUUUUUCACUUCCACUAUGAAUCUGCAAAAUCCAUUUCAAAUCUCCAAACACCACUCAAACACAACUCAAGAAAACCUCAACUCAUUGUUGUUUAUUUCACAAUGAACUUCUCUGCUGCUUCAAUCUCUGUCGUCCAUCACGACGUCAUCACAGUAAUAAACUCACACAUCACAGUUUACAGGGUCGCAGCUUACAGAGCCAAUCAACAAAUAUCUUUUCUUCUCUCUAAGCCCACAAUUUCAUAUGAAGCUCGUUGCUUUUCCCUCUCUCAGAUUCUCCUGCAAUUUCAAAUCUGCACUGCCUAUGCAAAUCUCUCCGACGCCGUCCUCUGCAACCCCUCCGACAUCGCAACCUGGGUCGACUCC
Molecule: long non-coding RNA, 3779 nt
Filed under: Malus domestica (apple)
Lineage: Eukaryota; Viridiplantae; Streptophyta; Magnoliopsida; Rosales; Rosaceae
Description: long non-coding RNA (MDOM_LNC019416)
Source: RNAcentral